GUACACUCCUACGGGAGGCAGCAGUGGGGAAUAUUGGACAAUGGGCGCAAGCCUGAUACAGCCAUGCCGCGUGAGUGAUGAAGGCCCUAGGGUUGUAAAGCUCUUUCACCGGUGAAGAUAAUGACGGUAACCGGAGAAGAAGCCCCAGCUAACUUCGUGCCAGCAGCCGCGGUAAUACGAAGGGGGCUAGCGUUGUUCGGAUUUACUGGGCGUAAAGCGCACGUAGGCGGACUAUUAAGUCAGGGGUGAAAUCCCGGGGCUCAACCCCGGAACUGCCGUUGAUACGGGUAGUCUUGAGUUCGAGAGAGGUGAGUGGAAUUCCGGGUGUAGAGGUGAAAUUCGUAGAUAUUCGGAGGAACACCAGUGGCGAAGGCGGCUCACUGGCUCGAUACUGACGCUGAGGUGCGAAAGCGUGGGGAGCAAACAGGAUUAGAUACCCCGGUAGUCCCA
Molecule: ribosomal RNA, 450 nt
Filed under: uncultured organism
Description: partial 16S ribosomal RNA
Rfam family: Bacterial small subunit ribosomal RNA
Source: RNAcentral